Molecule: ribosomal RNA, 253 nt
Filed under: uncultured bacterium
Lineage: Bacteria
Description: partial 16S ribosomal RNA
Rfam family: Bacterial small subunit ribosomal RNA
Source: RNAcentral
UACGGGGGGGGCAAGCGUUGUUCGGAAUUACUGGGCGUAAAGCGUGCGCAGGCGGUUGUGCAAGACAGGUGUGAAAUCCCCGGGCUUAACCUGGGAACUGCACUUGUGACUGCACAGCUGGAGUACGGCAGAGGGGGAUGGAAUUCCGCGUGUAGCAGUGAAAUGCGUAGAUAUCUGGAGGAACAUCGGUGGCGAAGGCGGCAUCCUGGACCGGUAUUGACGCUGAGGCGCGAAAGCCAGGGGAGCAAACGGG